Hordeum vulgare subsp. vulgare (domesticated barley) is the source of this 124-nucleotide non-coding RNA. The record is from Rfam. NCBI's taxonomy places the organism in Eukaryota, Viridiplantae, Streptophyta, Magnoliopsida, Poales, Poaceae.
AUAAUACUCCCUCCGUCCGAAAUUACUUGUCGCACAAAUGGAUAAAAUGGAUGUAUCUAAAACUAUAAUACAUCUAGAUACAUCCAUUACGAUGACAAAUAUUUUCGGACACAGGGAGUAACUC